Molecule: ribosomal RNA, 428 nt
Filed under: uncultured bacterium
Lineage: Bacteria
Description: partial 16S ribosomal RNA
Rfam family: Bacterial small subunit ribosomal RNA
Source: RNAcentral
GUGGGGAAUAUUGGUCAAUGGGGGAAACCCUGAACCAGCAACGCCGCGUGAAGGAAGAAGGCUUUCGGGUUGUAAACUUCUUUGACUGGGGACGAAAGCAAUGACGGUACCCUGAAAACAAGCCACGGCUAACUACGUGCCAGCAGCCGCGGUAAUACGUAGGUGGCGAGCGUUGUCCGGAUUUACUGGGUGUAAAGGGCGUGUAGGCGGGGCGGUAAGUCAGAUGUGAAAUGUAGGGGCUCAACCCCUGAAUUGCAUUUGAAACUAUCGUUCUUGAGUGAUGGAGAGGCAGGCGGAAUUCCGUGUGUAGCGGUGAAAUGCGUAGAUAUACGGAGGAACACCAGUGGCGAAGGCGGCCUGCUGGACAUUAACUGACGCUGAGGCGCGAAAGCGUGGGGAGCAAACAGGAUUAGAAACCCGUGUAGUCC